UCCAGACUCCUACGGGAGGCAGCAGUGAGGAAUAUUGGUCAAUGGGCGGGAGCCUGAACCAGCCAAGUCGCGUGAGGGAUGACGGCCCCACGGGUUGUAAACUUCUUUUGUCAGGGAGCAAUUGGGUCCACGCGUGGGCUUAGCGAGAGUACCUGAAGAAAAAGCAUCGGCUAACUCCGUGCCAGCAGCCGCGGUAAUACGGAGGAUGCGAGCGUUAUCCGGAUUUAUUGGGUUUAAAGGGUGCGUAGGCGGAAUAUCAAGUCAGCGGUAAAAUUUCGGGGCUCAACCCCGUCGUGCCGUUGAAACUGGCGUUCUUGAGUGAGCGAGAAGUAUGCGGAAUGCGUGGUGUAGCGGUGAAAUGCAUAGAUAUCACGCAGAACUCCGAUUGCGAAGGCAGCAUACCGGCGCUCAACUGACGCUCAUGCACGAAAGCGUGGGUAUCGAACAGGAUUAGAUACCCCAGUAGA
Molecule: ribosomal RNA, 467 nt
Filed under: uncultured bacterium
Lineage: Bacteria
Description: bacterial SSU rRNA
Rfam family: Bacterial small subunit ribosomal RNA
Source: RNAcentral